CCUACGGGGUGCAGCAGUGAGGAAUAUUGGUCAAUGGGCGCGAGCCUGAACCAGCCAAGUCGCGUGAGGGAGGACGGCCCUACGGGUUGUAAACCUCUUUUGCCGGGGAGCAACGGGCGUCACGUGUGGCGCCACUGAGAGUACCCGGAGAAAAAGCAUCGGCUAACUCCGUGCCAGCAGCCGCGGUAAUACGGAGGAUGCGAGCGUUAUCCGGAUUUAUUGGGUUUAAAGGGUGCGUAGGCGGAUCGUUAAGUCAGUGGUCAAAUUGAGGGGCUCAACCCCUUCCCGCCAUUGAAACUGGCGUUCUUGAGUGGAAGAGAAGUAUGCGGAAUGCGUGGUGUAGCGGUGAAAUGCAUAGAUAUCACGCAGAACCCCGAUUGCGAAGGCAGCUUACUGGACUGUAACUGACGUUGAGGCUCGAAAGCGUGGGGAGCAAACAGGAUUAGAUACCCUUGUAGUC
This 460-nucleotide ribosomal RNA is filed under the name uncultured bacterium. Its description in RNAcentral is "partial 16S ribosomal RNA". It matches the Rfam family "Bacterial small subunit ribosomal RNA", at positions 338 to 795 of the family's 1533-position model. The record is from RNAcentral.